GGUUGAUCCUGCCAGUAGUCAUAUGCUUGUCUCAAAGAUUAAGCCAUGCAUGUCUAAGUAUAAGCACUUUAUACUGUGAAACUGCGAAUGGCUCAUUAAAUCAGUUAUAGUUUAUUUGAUAAUACCUUACUACUUGGAUAACCGUGGUAAUUCUAGAGCUAAUACAUGCUAAAAACCCCGACUUCUGGAAGGGGUGUAUUUAUUAGAUAAAAAACCAAUCGGGGCAACCCGUCACUAGGUGAAUCAUGAUAACUAUUCGAAUCGUAUGACUUUUGUCGACGAUGGUUCAUUCA
RNAcentral lists this ribosomal RNA (293 nucleotides) under uncultured eukaryote. Its description in RNAcentral is "partial 18S ribosomal RNA". It matches the Rfam family "Eukaryotic small subunit ribosomal RNA", at positions 6 to 301 of the family's 1831-position model. The record is from RNAcentral.